UGGGGAAUAUUGGACAAUGGGCGAAAGCCUGAUCCAGCCAUGCCGCGUGUGUGAAGAAGGUCUUCGGAUUGUAAAGCACUUUAAGUUGGGAGGAAGGGCAGUAAGCGAAUACCUUGCUGUUUUGACGUUACCGACAGAAUAAGCACCGGCUAACUCUGUGCCAGCAGCCGCGGUAAUACAGAGGGUGCAAGCGUUAAUCGGAAUUACUGGGCGUAAAGCGCGCGUAUGUGGUUCGUUAAGUUGAAUGUGAAAGCCCCCGGCUCAACAACGGAAGGGCAUCCAAAAAUGGCGUGCUAGUGUAGGGCAGAAGGUGGUGGAAUUUCCUGAGUAGCGGGGAAAUGCGUAGAUAUAGGAAGGAACACCGGUGGAGACGGCGAACACCUGGGAUCAUACUGACACUGAGGUGCGAAAGCGUGGGGAGCAAACAGG
RNAcentral lists this ribosomal RNA (429 nucleotides) under Pseudomonadota bacterium. Its description in RNAcentral is "Proteobacteria bacterium partial 16S ribosomal RNA". It matches the Rfam family "Bacterial small subunit ribosomal RNA", at positions 355 to 776 of the family's 1533-position model. Lineage: Bacteria; Pseudomonadati; Pseudomonadota. The record is from RNAcentral.